AGGUCUCUGAUGACAAAUGAAUGUCACUAAGAGAGGUGAUGACAUAAAAAUCAUACUAUGUAACAUGACACUGAGUCCC
Small nucleolar RNA from Mesocricetus auratus (golden hamster), 79 nucleotides. Its record names the gene SNORD115. It matches the Rfam family "Small nucleolar RNA SNORD115". From Rfam's summary of the family: HBII-52 is a member of the C/D class of snoRNAs, which contain the C (UGAUGA) and D (CUGA) box motifs. HBII-52 is encoded in a tandemly repeated array with another C/D snoRNA, HBII-85, in the Prader-Willi syndrome (PWS) region of chromosome 15. Lineage: Eukaryota; Metazoa; Chordata; Mammalia; Rodentia; Cricetidae. The record is from Ensembl.